GGCCGCUUAACCGACUGAGCCACCCAGGCGCCCCUAUUUGCUAUUGUUUUAAAAAAUUUUUUACUACAGAUCAUUGGGGGCUCAUAACCUUUCCAGUUUUAGGUUUUAGUUUAGGUUUACGUUUUAGGCCGGUCUUGGGUGCAGUCCAUUCGAUUUUCAGGCUGAGGGACUUGUGCCGGGAUGGCCCCUGGGGCCCCGCAGCUCUUCAAGAAGCGCAUCUGUGUGGUCACAGGAGCCCCGGCCUCCUCACCAGCUUAUUCCAUUUGCACGAAAACUCCUCCCCAUGGACCUGGGAGAGUGAUCCUGGUUUUGCCUUUCAACUCCAGGGCUAGGGUGGUUUUUUUUUGCUUUUUUUUUUUUUUUUCUGUAAGUGAUCAAUUAAUCACUAGAAAUAGACAUGUGGUGCACCUGGAAGUGGACCAAAAUAUCCAGGAGCCAAAUGCUUCCAGUCCGGCAGCAGAAGGGGACACCUGGCGAAGGCUCGUGGGCCCAGCUUGGUGUGGAGCAGGAGACGGGGGCUCCUGCUCCCGUCUGGACUGUGUGAGGAAGACCUGGAUGUGCCUCCCGCUGUUCGGUGAGUGACACUUAAAUGGUAGCACUGUUUGGGGAUAACGAUGAAAACUAACGGCUAUGCUUCUCACUGACAGAGCUAGACUGUUCCAAGAAGCUUGAGGUGGACUACUUUUGGACUUGACUUUGAGAACUUCCAGGCCCAUAUUUGACCUUGUUGGGAAGUUCCGUAAGCCCAAGCGUUGAGAAGAGAACCACCUGGGCGGUCCAUCGUGAACUGAAAUGAACAACGUCGGUUUCACGUUCUUUUAGCCGGGAAGUCGGAGGUCGAAGCACCCCUGGCCAUCAGCUCACCACGCUCAUUCCACAUCGGUUGCCCAGAAUCUCCGGUAGAGACAGUCACCCCCUGAAGCAGCCACUCUUACUUAGACCUGCUAAGAAGGCACCCGGCGAUCUCUGUCAGCAGAGUGAGACUUUAGGACUAAAACAGAAGCCUAGGAGGAGCCCUUGUCUUGGCAAAACCUUGGGUGGAUCAAAUCGCAACACUGCACAGACCUAGUAACUACAGUGGUGAGGUGAGCAGACCGUCAACCUGUCGGGGAGUACGGAGGAGGAAGAGACUAUUCCAGGUAAAACACUUGGUCGUCGAGGACCUUUUGUCCAAGAAGCUUGGCACUAGCUCUAUACCAUGGCCUCAAUUCUUCCACGAAGACAGCGUGACCAACUCAUCUCCGGGGUCCUCAGGGCAGGCGUUUGAGCUCAGUCUUCUUCCUCUAAUGUCCGAUAAAAAUAACCCUACACGUGCAUUACGUCUCUUCAUAGUGUAUUUACAGUAAGUAAAACGGCCCGCCAGGCACACUCAUGCCCUGCAAAAUUGUAACAGCUGCUCAGGGACGCUCGUGCCCGUCACCAAGGCAGCAGGGUCCCCUGAGACUCCGAGAGGGACGAAUGCACGGGGCGGCUGGCUCUGCUAGCGGGCCGCCCGGGGCCCACACCCCAUGCACAGCAGUGGCCUCUCAGAAGCAGACGAUCCGCUUCUCAUCUUGGAAGACUUUGGCCUCCUCUGGCUUUAUCAAGUUUCCAUUUAGGCUGUCGGGGAGAAACAACACAAAACAUUAGCGGUUUGUAGGAGCCUUCCCGGGACGUGUUCCCGACACCCUCCUGUUCUUCACGUGGCCCAGAAGUUCCGGAACAUGCUCCAUUCAGGCACUUGCUUGAUACUGGAUUCCUCUAGACUGGGGGCUUGGCCCUUUUCCCCAGCUGACCUCAUCCCUACGUGAGUGGACCUGCGGCCCAGACCUCUCCCGUGUGGCUCCACUUACUUGACAUCUUCACUUGGAUGCCGCCCAGGGACCCUGGCUCAGUGCACGGGACCACUCUUUAUCCACCUGUGCAAGGUAGCGACCUGGGGGUCGGCCUUGACCCCCUCAUCUUCGUAGUCUAUCUUAUUCCCUAAACAUCCCCAGAGUGCCUCCCUGGGACCUUUCCACGUCCUCACCACCACCAUGGUGGUCUGAGCACCAUCGUCUCUUCUCUGGAGCGCUGCAGUGCCCUCCUGCCUGGUCCCUUUACAUGUACUCUUCUGGCCUCUUCAAAUCCAUUUUCCUGGAGGAGCCAGAAUGGUCUUUGUAAUGCAAAUCUGAUCAUAUCCCUCUUUGCUUCACACCCCUCCACGACUUGCCAUUGCUUUUAGGAUAUAGACCCGAAUACGUGGCACGACCCACAGAUCUCUUAUGGUUUAGUCUACCCCCUCUCCUCUGCCCCCUGUUGCCCCUUCUCCUGCACCGUCUGAACCCCAGGGCCCAUGGACAUCUUGCCGUUUUUCAAGGGCACCAGGCCCCUUCCUGCCUCCGAGCCUUGGCAUUAUGCUAUUCCCUCUACCAGUCAGCCAAUCAGACCUUCACAUUUACUCAGCUGAAUUUUGUCUAACAGACUUGGUGGCAGCAUUGGGAUCUGAAGCGAACUUCCUCCGGCCUCCGGGGCCAAGAAGACCCACAGGCAGGGCACCCUGCCAGCGCACUUCUGAGUUCAAGAGAGACAGGAGGAGACACAGAAUCAGAAGCAGGCCCCAAGCUGUCAGCACAGAGCCCGACGCGGCGCUUGAACCCAUGAACCGUGAGAUCAUGCCCUGAGCCCAAGUCGGUCCCUUAACCUACUGAGCCACCCAGGUGCCCUGACCUGUCAAUUCUUCAUGGAUUCAUUUAUUGUCUCUCUGUCUACAAAGUAGAACAACUGCCUGCCUUGGCCAUUUGGGCCCGCUGUGCACUCAUAAUAAAACUCUGUGGUUUUCUCCCCUGGUUAAUCUGUUUUAUGCAAAUUUAACUCUCAGCCCAGCUGGAAGACCUUGAAGGGUAGAGGACGAAUUUCUCCUUCCCUUUGGUUGGCGUUAUCGGCAGGAUACUAACUCACGGGACAGGUGCCUGCCUGGUAUUGCUGCAGCUGAGAUCCUGGGACAUCUGACAUGCGGCCAGCAGAAGGCUCCACCCUCAAAGAGCUCACAGUCUGGAGCAGACAGCCUCCCAGGAAGCUACUCCAGCGGUAUGAUAGAUGCCACGCAAUGUCAGGGCAUUGUUCACCCUGCCUCCUGUCUCUGAAGCAGAACUCACUUGGGGCAUCAGACCGCAAGUUCUCAUGGGACAGGGAUGAGGUAGAAAUCAAUAUCAGCAUGAACAACGAGUCCCUGUGCCCCUGGUGACUGCGGACAGAGCUGCUCCCUCAUCCCCACAGCCCUGGACAGGGCCGACGCGACAGGACGUCACUACGCCUGGUUCCAUGACAUCACUCACACACACAUGCCUCCUUCAGGCCCUGGGUAGCACACCUUCAAGCUAAAGACACCUGGCCCUGCACACGUAGUUCCUUGUAUAGGAACAGUGGUCCUUCCAAGGCAACAAAUGCACAUUUUUCAAGCCGGACAGAGUUAAAGCAGCUACGUGUUCUUACACCUGUCCUAAUCAGCCUCCGAGAAAAGUAGAGGCCAACCGUUGUCUGCAAACUUCUGCAGCCUGGCCUGCCCCCUCCUCCCCCUCUGCCUGCUGUUCUCGAACCACAGAGUCAGCAAGAAUUGACGUGCUUCUAGGGAAGGGACCACGGGCAGGAGGGGGCCUGGCGAUUAAUGCAAACCAGAGUUCCAACAGCUCCCACAUGCCUUGCGGACUCAGGAGCGGGCACAGGGUCACACGCACCUAAGCCCCAGCGUCCUCCGUCAGCCUUGCUGGAGCUGGGCUCUCCCCUCUAGGACAGCGUCUUCCAAAUGUUUUUUCAAGCACAACCCAAACGAGAAUUACAUUUUACGUCUUGAACCAGCAUCCACGCAGGCACACAUACCCACAUCUGACCCAAGAUUAUAAAAUAAUACUUUGUGCUGUGCACGGUGACUUUUGGUGUCCUGCUCGACCUCAUUUUCCAAAUAAUAUGCUGGUUGCAACCUGCCCAACUGAUUUUAUGAUGCACUAACAAGUUCCAAAGCAAAGUUUAAAAAAUGCUGUGCUGGGAGCCCAGGUCAAGGAGCUGUACCUCGAUGUACUUUUUUUUAGCUGGGAAAUUCUCCCCCGGCAGGACGAAAUGGGGUAGU
This is a long non-coding RNA of Prionailurus viverrinus (fishing cat), 4084 nucleotides long. RefSeq lists it as uncharacterized. The transcript is spliced from 6 exons. Lineage: Eukaryota; Metazoa; Chordata; Mammalia; Carnivora; Felidae. The record is from RefSeq and is a predicted model, not a curated record.